Molecule: long non-coding RNA, 316 nt
Filed under: Homo sapiens (human)
Lineage: Eukaryota; Metazoa; Chordata; Mammalia; Primates; Hominidae
Description: non-protein coding lnc-ALG2-6:39
Source: RNAcentral
CAGAGCCGAAAUCCCAGAGCAGUGAAAGAGGAGCCAGUGUCAUGGGGCUUCUGGUUUCAGGACACACUGGAAACUUUCUGAAAACUGACUUCCCAUAUUCCCAAAGCCAUCGCCAGCUCCCAGCUUUGUCAUUCAGGAAAAAGAGUAUGCACCUCCCCUUCAUCCUCCUCAUCUCUCACCAUCAUUAAGUACAAGCCCAAGGAGAAGAAUCAAGGGCAAUGAAUCUUCAUCAAACAAUAAAAUCCUGCCUGGUACCAGACCUACCUGUGCCAUCCAAGCACUGCCUGCCCUGUCCCUCCAUUAAACAUCUUACCCU